CCUGGAGAGCUUGGUAAGAUACAGAUUCCUGGGCUUCGCCACCAGAGGCACUGGUUCAAUAGCUCUGAAGUGGGGUCUAAAAUUUGAAAUUUCUACCAAGCUCUCAGGUGAUGCUUAAGCUGACCAGCCCCAGACCGCACUUUAAAGAGAGCACUGCCCUAGGGGAAAGCAGAUGAACAACAGGAAAGGAAUUGGGGUCACUAAAUGAUCUUAUGUAACAGGGAAGACAGAAAUAAACUUUCUUCCUUUCUUUUUUCUCUCUAAUGUUUAUUUUUGAGAGAGCGCAAGCCUGGGGAGGGGCAGAGGGAGAGGAAGAUAGAAGACCCCCAAGAGGCCUCUGCGCUGACAGCCGUGAGCCGACCAGCGGGGCUUGAACUCAAGAACGGUGAGAUCAGGACCCGAGCGGAAGUCGCACGCUCAACCAACUGAGCCCUCCCAGGGCCCCCCGGAAAUGAACUUUCUUGAGCCAGUGUCAGUAUAGCGCAUGCCACCUUGUGGUAGAUUAGCUCCCAUCCUAAUUCAGUUGGUACUCAAUAAUUGCCUGUUGGAUGGCUGAAUGGAAUGCCGGCCAAAUGCAUGUGAUGGCCUUUGAGGUGGCCUGUGGUUGAAGAAUCAACCAGGAUGAGCGUAGAGCCAAGAUGCCAGAUCUUACCCAAAGGAUCAGAUUCAGGCCAUACCGGAUGUGCCCAAAUCAUUUCCAUCUGACGCCCAGGACAGCCUGGGAGGCCUGGUCUUAGGGAGCAACUCCCAGCUAGUUCUAUUCAUGCAGGGACCCAAAUAGAACCACGUCAGUUGUGUCUGUCCAGCCUGGGCCCAGGCUCUGUUUACAUCGUCUCGCUAGUUCUCUUCUGUCAGCUGAGUUUUAGAAAUGUGUUGCUGUUUGCAUUCUGGCCAUGGACUAAAGUAGGGAGGGGGGGGGGAAGCCUUCAUUCCUGUUUUACCUGCCUCCCAACUUCUCCCUCCCCACCAUAUAAACGACAUGUUUCUUAUAAAGCAGAGUUUAUUUACAAAGAUGGGUAAACUGAGGCACCAAGCGGUAAACUGAUGUGCCCCCGGCUCUGCUUCAUAAUUGUUUAACAAAGAAAGGGACAUCUCCCUGUCCAGAACAAAACCUUUGGAAGCUAAGAGAGUGUUAAAUCAAAAGGAAAACACCAGACUUUGUAAAGAAUCCCUUUGUUGCCGUUUCUGGGAAUUCUGCUUGGAGCCCACCUGCCUGGCCCCCAGAUCUUCACUGCUCCCCAAGACACAGAGAGCCUUUUAGUUCCGUGUUCACCUCUGCAUUGUGCAGGCAUAAUCAGACGAAAUACACCUGGCAGAAAGGAUUUCCAGCUGCUGCUGAAGGCAGCAGUGUUUGCGUGGAGGAUGGAGGUCGAACAUGCUAGCAUUUAACAGGGAGGCGGUGUCUAACGUGAAGUGAGACAGGAAGAUGUGACUGACGGCCCAAGGCACUGGGCCAGGUCUGCUCAGGACCUCUGCCUCUGCUGGCUUGUUCUAGCACAGACAGCGGUCCUACCUCAGGAAGGCCCGUUACACAUCCUUGCGUUCAGCCCUCUGUUAUUUUUCAAAAAGACUAUUUUUUUUAGGGCAGUUUUAGGUUCAUAACAAAACGGGGAGGAAGGUACAGAGAUUUCCCAUACACACCCUGUCCCCACGCACACGCCCCCCCAUUAUUUAUGUCGCUCGCCAGAGACAUACAUUUGUUACCAAGGAGGGACCAACAUUGACACAUCCUGAUCACCCAGAGUCCGAGACCUAAAUUAGCCUUAGGUUUCACUCUUGGUAUGGCACACUCUGUAGAUUGGAACAAUGUAUAAAGACAUGUAUCCAUCAGUAUAAUAUCAUAUGGAGUAUUUUCACUGCCCUAAAAAUCCUCUGUGCUCUGCCUAAUGAUCUCCUCUCCCCUUCCACCCCAGCCCCUGGCAACCACUGAUCCUAUUACUAUCUCCACAGUUUUGCCUUUUCCAAAACGUCAUAUAGGUGGAAUCAUAUCACGUAGCCUUUUGAAGUCGGCUUCUUUCGCUUAGUAUAAUGUUCCACCGUGUCUUUUCUUGGCUUGAUAGCUCAUUUCUUUUUCGUGCUGAAUAAUAUUCCAUAGUCUGGAUGUACCACAGUUUAUUUAUCCAUUCACAUACUGAAGGAUAUCUUGGUUGCUACCCAGUCUUGGCAAUUGUAAGUAGAGCUACUAUUAAACAUGCGCGCAGGGUUUUGUGUGGACGUGUUUGCAACUCCUUUAGGUAAAUACCAAGAAGAUUGCUUGCUGAUCCAUGCAGUAGGAGUAUAUUGAGUUUUAUGAGAAACCACCAAACUGUCUUUCAAAGCGGCUGUCCCAUUUGGCAUUCCCACCAACAAUGAAUGGGACUUCCUGGUGCCCCACAUUCUCACAAGCGUCUGGUGACGUCAGUGUUCUGGAUUUUGGUCAAUCUAAUAGGUGUGCAGUGGUAUCUCAUUUGCAUUUCCCUGAUGCCUAUGGUGU
Long non-coding RNA from Felis catus (domestic cat), 2473 nucleotides. RefSeq lists it as uncharacterized. The transcript has 3 exons. NCBI's taxonomy places the organism in Eukaryota, Metazoa, Chordata, Mammalia, Carnivora, Felidae. The record is from RefSeq and is a predicted model, not a curated record.